AAGGCCAAUGAACGUUGCAAUGGUCCGGUGGAGGGACAUGACAUUCUCAAAAAGGAUCCAAAAAACCACCAAGUGGAAUGAUCUGAGAAUCAGCAAAAAGAACACAAGAAAUUCUUUAAGAAAUUUUUUUUUUUUUAAGGAAACAAAAGAGAGAGGGUUGGUUGGUUACCUUGGACAGGGCAAUGCAUUGAGAAGUGUCACAGCUAAAGGGAUAUAAACAGCACCCCAAAGGGGAACUUUGACCUCUGGGAUCAAAACAGUUGCAGGGAGAACAAGGCAAUAGAAGACGAAUGUGACAAUAUGCGCGACGAUUUUGUUGACAAGGAAAAAGGCGUAUAUCAGAUACACUUUCCUCCAUACUGAGACAUUCUACAAGUACGUGUUCGAGUCAAAUGAAUCAAUAACUCAAAAAGUUGCAUAAACAUUUUCAAAGUUUUGACAUGUUUAAGAUUGAGUGGUUUAAUUUGUGAUUGUGUUUCUACCUUGCUUGUCACUAUCUCCAUCACCAUUUUCUUGAAAAGAAAGGCAGGGCCACAUGACCACCUAUGCUGCUGGUAUCUGUAUGCCUUGAAGCUGCUUGGUAAUUCACUUUUCACCUAUAUAUAAUUCAUUACUCCAUAUUGUUAUGUUCAUCAAAACCUUGAUCUUCUCACUCCAAUUUUCAUGUGAAUAAAUAUACUGAAGAAGCAAGCAAGAAUUUUACCCUGACAUCACCAAGAAACACAAAUUUCCAGCCCUUGAGAGCAGCUCUGCAACCCAGAUCCAUAUCUUCCACAGUUGUAUAUAUAUGUGUGUGUAUAUAAGGUACGUACCAUUGAAGCCAAAAAAUGCAUGGACUGCAGACCCAACUUCUUGCUCCACUGUGAAAUGGUAAUCCAUUGACAUCUCUUGCAUUCUUGUCAGCAUGCACUCAUCAGAGUUGACUGCCAUUUCAACACAAAACACUAUGUAAGCAUAACUGCACAAUUAAGGGAGUUUGAAGGUGAUGGAUAUCAUAUAUAUGAAGAGAAGCUGAAAUGCUAUACCGAAUUUCCAACGAGCUUGAACAAGCCCGAUUUCAGGGUUGUGCACCAGGAAAGGGAUGGCCCGGCACAAGAAAUCAGGGUCGGGUUCGAAAUCCGCAUCGAAAACUGCCACAUACUCACACAGCUUAACAUAGCUAUGCUUCAUUCCUUGCUUGAGGGAUCCUGCUUUGAACCCUUUUCUGUUUUCUCUAGUCUCAUACUUUAUGUUCACCCCUUUACCUGCCCAUCUCCUGCACUCUUGCUGGACUAAAGCCUGUUUAUUGUUAUUAAUUAUUACCUAACAUUUUAGAAAAAAACCCAAGACACUAACUAUUUUGAGCCAUAAUCAUAAAGGAAACAAACUAUGCAUUGUAAUAAGAAUCAUAAUGUUGCUUGUACUAAAUUUUGUGUUGUCUUUUGAUAUAUACCAUAAUUGCAGUAUCAGUUGAAUCAUCAAGAACUUGAACUAUGAUUCGAUCCGCCGGCCAUGAAAGGUUGCAAGCAGCUCCAAUGGACAAGUGAUAUACCUACAUAUACACAAAUUAAAGAAACCAUGCAUUAUUUAUUUAGCAUUAUAUUGUCCACUAAAGUUGGGAGUAUCAAUCCCCUUAUCCACAAUGAAAUAUAACAAAUGAAUUGCAAGA
This is a long non-coding RNA of Ipomoea triloba (trilobed morning glory), 1648 nucleotides long. RefSeq lists it as uncharacterized. The record is from RefSeq and is a predicted model, not a curated record. The transcript is spliced from 2 exons. Lineage: Eukaryota; Viridiplantae; Streptophyta; Magnoliopsida; Solanales; Convolvulaceae.